UUCACCUCCCUAACUCUGAGAAAAUCCCAUACCACAGACACAGGGAACUUUAAUACCCCACAAUACUAAAGUUGUGUGUGAUUUAACAGCCCCUGUGCCCUGUUCCAAGGCAUUCAUCACAUCCUAAGGCCCAAAUCUCUGUGGGGUACAACUUUAGAAAGGAGAUCGAGUUUCAUGCCUGUGCCUUGGAGAUCAUUUCUUGAUCCUUGUGAUGGACAUUUGCCCCACUUCCAUACCUACUCUGUACCCCACAAGGCAUUAAAGUUCUCAAAUGUUCUGACCUGGACCUGGAACGUAGCUCCCCAAAGAGCAGACAUGCAGUUCUCCAGCAGACUGGUUGGAGCAUGGUCUGAGGUGAGUCAGUCCCAGGCUGGAGGCUAAGGACAAUAGUGUCUGUUGGCCCCACUCUCAUACAAUGGAGCUUCUUACCAGAAUAUCUUAGCCUCCCUUGAUCCCUGAACCGGUGGGGACUCACUUUUUCUAUGUGUUAUAGUGUGUUAAAACCAGGCACAGCAUUAAUGCAUGGUAGUGACAACACAUGUCUAGCACAACCCCUCCUGAAGGCGGCUCCCCAUGGACUUGGCAAGCCUUCUGUUCUCAACAUGUGGUGCCAUCUUGGAGCGAUCACACUGAGGAAGAGCACAGAACAAGGGCAGGAGCAGGUGCUGGAUCCCACAGAGACUUUUUCUACCCUCCUUUUCCACUCCAAUCUUCUUUGGAACUUUGAAUGGAAUCACAGGAGGAGGCACUGCACGUGUAGCUGCCCAAAGUCUAGAUGUCACUGUUCUCUGCUGUCACCCAAAAGGAGUGAACAGCACCUGGACAGGAGAUGGCCCAAGGCUUACAUGUGUAUAACGUGCCACUGUCUCAGGGACUGACUCUCAGUGAACCCUGAUGUCUUGAUCCACUCAGCACACCACCAUUCAGUAUUGAAAACUGGGGUUGAGUGAGUCCCUUGUACAUGGCCAGGACCUGAAUCCGCAGGUGGUCAAGUCUCUCUGGGCUGCUAAGGUAAGAACUCACCUCAGCUUUGGUGCCUGUGGGGCUGAGAGUUCAGCCCUAGAAAAGUCCAGAGAGAAGUGGCUGGAGCUGGGGCAGCUGUCCAGGAAAGCUGGUUCCAGAGGCUUCCUCAGGCUGUGAGGCCCAUCUGCCUGCACCAGGCUUGCUAUACAGACCUCUGCCAGGUCCUCUGGUGACUGAGCUCCCAUCUGUGGUGAGAUAGUGGGGAGACAUGGAAUUGAUGUCCUGCACAUGGCAUCUCGGGGGUUUGGGGCUGAAGCAAAGCCCACACUCUAAAUGGUCCACAGGGCUUCAUGGUACAAGGCUCACAGGAGGACCCCAACAGAAAGGGGAAUUUCAUAUUGAAAGUUACAUUUCAUGAGGGACACUUAGGAAUACUAGCAUGCUCAGUUCACCUUGAUAGAGGAGAGGCUGAAUAGAACUCUAUGCGUGAACAAAACUAUGAGUAAUAAGAUGGUCCCCAUUUUAGAAAUGAGAAAAC
This 1501-nucleotide long non-coding RNA is filed under the name Cavia porcellus (domestic guinea pig). RNAcentral describes it as "lncRNA (ENSCPOG00000035458.1)". The record is from RNAcentral. Lineage: Eukaryota; Metazoa; Chordata; Mammalia; Rodentia; Caviidae.